Molecule: transfer RNA, 87 nt
Filed under: bacterium
Lineage: Bacteria
Also listed under: 1 other name
Description: tRNA-Ser
Rfam family: tRNA
About the family: Transfer RNA (tRNA) molecules are approximately 80 nucleotides in length. Their secondary structure includes four short double-helical elements and three loops (D, anti-codon, and T loops).
Source: RNAcentral
GGAAGGAUCGCAUAGUGGUCGAGUGCGCGCGCUUGGAAAGCGCGUAAGGUGUAAAAGCCUUCGAGGGUUCAAAUCCCUCUCCUUCCG